GGCAACAUCUCCUAGCUUUGGACUGACUGCUUGCUUUUGUAACGCUUUAAUGAUUUUUGUGAAGUAAUCUAAAAACCUUUUGCCUUGGACUCUGCAGAGGACUGUCAGUGCACUUCAGUGGUGCGCAGAGACAGCUAGCAAGGACUAGACUUGGUUCAGAAGAGUAUGGCCUCACGUUAGAUGAAGGCAGAAUCAUGGGAUGGCUCUGUCUCUACCUCAUACAGAAACAUUUCUCUUUUUAUUUGGGCUUCACACUAUUCCUGGGGCCUCUGGGCUCCUGUCCAGGCCAAGAUACUUCACAAUUGACUUUGAUUUUCUGAGGUAAGUGAUCUGUCGCUUUCAGAGCAGUUA
RNAcentral lists this long non-coding RNA (351 nucleotides) under Struthio camelus australis. RNAcentral's name for it is "lncRNA (ENSSCUG00000017987.1)". Lineage: Eukaryota; Metazoa; Chordata; Aves; Struthioniformes; Struthionidae. The record is from RNAcentral.